Molecule: unclassified non-coding RNA, 203 nt
Filed under: Hevea brasiliensis (rubber tree)
Lineage: Eukaryota; Viridiplantae; Streptophyta; Magnoliopsida; Malpighiales; Euphorbiaceae
Source: RNAcentral
GGCGCUGCUGGUUGAGGCGGCGGAAGAGCUGGCGGUGGCCGCCGGCCGCCGCCGCAUCCGACUAGCCCUUGGCUGGCGAACCGCUCGAUCGGCCUGAAGGGGCUGAGGAUCAUCUUCGUGCUCGUGAGGGGAAACCGAUUGCUGGCGGCGGCGGUACCAGAGAAGGGGGAAGAUGGCGAGGACGAGAAACGCGCAGAGGACGC